Mustela erminea (ermine) is the source of this 1236-nucleotide long non-coding RNA. RefSeq lists it as uncharacterized. The record is from RefSeq and is a predicted model, not a curated record. Lineage: Eukaryota; Metazoa; Chordata; Mammalia; Carnivora; Mustelidae. The transcript has 4 exons.
GCAUAAUGCAGUAGCAACUGGAUUUGCAGCAGAAACACCCUGCUAAAGAACAAGUAUCUUGGUUCACAGCAAAGAGGACAAAGGAAAACAGCAAGUUAUAGGGAGUUGAAUGCUGGAUUACAUCAGGGAAAGGAGUUGAUUUCUACAUCUGUAUUGACCAAGGGCACAAUAAGAGCAGCAAGGAUAGGAGAGGAAGAUGAUCCACACACUGAAUUAAUUGAAAAGAAGAAAGGGUUCAGAGCCAAAGAUGAAUAGAAGUGGGCUGAAUGACUCAUAUGGCUGAGAUUUUGUACAACUUGACAGUAAAGACAGUGAGAUGAAAGACACUGAGCUAAUCUAGCAGAAGUAAACAUUGGGAGCAUCUGCAAGGCUGGAAGACAGUCAUCCCUCUACAAGAUGCUGAUAGCAUUUCACAACCUGCUCAACCACUUUCUUUCGGCCCAAUUUUGGAAGAAGAAAUAACUUAGAGCUGUUUGUUUCCUGACUUGGGAACUUGAUUUGAACCUUUGAAAUGAUUUAUUGAAAUCUUUGAUUUUUUUUAACUAAUGAUACCACUGUAGGAAAAGGAGAUUUGCUUAUAAAAUUCACCAAUUUGGUUCUGGUUAUCUCUGUUUCUUGCCAUCACAAGUAUCAUUGGUGAGAUCGCUAUUGAGCAUGGAAAUAAUUUGAGGAAAUAAAAUAGAGAGGUUUAUAAAAAAUCUAAAUGCCUAUAAAUUCUAAAGUAACUAUAUGGAAUAUUUUAGCCUUUAAACCAUUUGUUUUUUUAAGAAUAUAUCUUCCAACAUUUUUAGGUUUAAAAGCUAAAAUCAAAUUGAGAAGAUGAAAAGAAUAUUCUGUGAUUCUGUCUUUUCAUGGAUUUAUACAAAUAUAUUUUGUAAAAAUAAGAAACCACUCAAGUAAUGUGGAAUUAUGCUCUGAGUUUAUGCUGUACAGUCCCAAGACUGUUAUCAGAGGACAGUGUUUUUCUCCAUAUUGGUGUCCUUACAUACAGAAUAUGUGUACAAACAGAUGGACCAUAUUUAAUAGUCUGGUGACUGUAAAAAUUGAAUUUAUGGUUUUCCUUUAUGCAAAUAACAGUCAUCUAGAAAAUAUAAUGGGAAAAAGAUAUUAUUAAAAAUAGCAACAAAAAUUAAAAACCCAUAGCAAAGACCUUAAAAGAAGGGUCUACCCAUAUAGAAAAAACUACUAAAGUUCAUUGAGAGUCACACAGAUGAUGUGAAUAAAUGUCUUCCAAAU